GACGAACGCUGGCGGCGUGCCUAAUACAUGCAAGUCGAACGCUGAAGAGAGGAGCUUACUCUUCUUGGAUGAGUUGCGAACGGGUGAGUAACGCGUAGGUAACCUGCCUUGUAGCGGGGGAUAACUAUUGGAAACGAUAGCUAAUACCGCAUAACAAUGGAUGACACAUGUCAUUUAUUUGAAAGGGGCAAUUGCUCCACUACAAGAUGGACCUGCGUUGUAUUAGCUAGUAGGUGAGGUAAUGGCUCACCUAGGCGACGAUACAUAGCCGACCUGAGAGGGUGAUAGGCCAAACUGGGACUGAGACACGGCCCAGACUCCUACGGGAGGCAGCAGUAGGGAAUCUUCGGCAAUGGGGGCAACCCUGACCGAGCAACGCCGCGUGAGUGAAGAAGGUUUUCGGAUCGUAAAGCUCUGUUGUAAGUCAAGAGCGGGUGUGAGAGUGGAAAGUUCACACUGUGACGGUAGCUUACCAGAAAGGGACGGCUAACUACGUG
RNAcentral lists this ribosomal RNA (497 nucleotides) under uncultured bacterium. RNAcentral describes it as "partial 16S ribosomal RNA". It matches the Rfam family "Bacterial small subunit ribosomal RNA", at positions 28 to 507 of the family's 1533-position model. The record is from RNAcentral.